GCCGCGGUGGCCUAGUGGCUAAGGUUUUCGGCUGCUGACCCACAGGUCACGGGUUCGAAUCCCGGCUGCGGCA
RNAcentral lists this transfer RNA (73 nucleotides) under Rhipicephalus microplus (southern cattle tick). Its description in RNAcentral is "tRNA-Ser". It matches the Rfam family "tRNA". From Rfam's summary of the family: Transfer RNA (tRNA) molecules are approximately 80 nucleotides in length. Their secondary structure includes four short double-helical elements and three loops (D, anti-codon, and T loops). Further hydrogen bonds mediate the characteristic L-shaped molecular structure. tRNAs have two regions of fundamental functional importance: the anti-codon, which is responsible for specific mRNA codon recognition, and the 3' end, to which the tRNAs corresponding amino acid is attached (by aminoacyl-tRNA synthetases). tRNAs cope with the degeneracy of the genetic code in two manners: having more than one tRNA (with a specific anti-codon) for a particular amino acid; and 'wobble' base-pairing, i.e. permitting non-standard base-pairing at the 3rd anti-codon position. The record is from Rfam by way of RNAcentral. Lineage: Eukaryota; Metazoa; Arthropoda; Arachnida; Ixodida; Ixodidae.